UACGUAGGGGGCAAGCGUUGUCCGGAUUUAUUGGGCGUAAAGAGCGUGUAGGCGGCCAGACAGGUCCGUUGUGAAAACUCGAGGCUCAACCUCGAGCUGUCGGCGGAAACCAUCUGGCUAGAGUCCGGAAGAGGAGAAUGGAAUUCCCGGUGUAGCGGUGAAAUGCGCAGAUAUCAGGAAGAACACCUAUGGCGAAGGCAGCUCUCUGGGACGGUACUGACGCUGAGACGCGAAAGCGUGGGGAGCGAACAGG
RNAcentral lists this ribosomal RNA (253 nucleotides) under uncultured bacterium. RNAcentral describes it as "partial 16S ribosomal RNA". It matches the Rfam family "Bacterial small subunit ribosomal RNA", at positions 524 to 776 of the family's 1533-position model. The record is from RNAcentral.